UACUUCCUUCUCACUUUGCCAGUUGGACUUUUAUCAAUUUUGGUCAUUCAAGUGGAUGAAGCUAAGUACACAUCCUUUUAUAAUUCAAAGCAAGCUGAGUGUUUUCCUUACCUAUUAAUAGAGGAAACAACA
Small nucleolar RNA from Suncus etruscus (white-toothed pygmy shrew), 132 nucleotides. RefSeq annotates it as small nucleolar RNA SNORA27. NCBI's taxonomy places the organism in Eukaryota, Metazoa, Chordata, Mammalia, Eulipotyphla, Soricidae. The record is from RefSeq and is a predicted model, not a curated record. The transcript has a single exon.